CCCAUUCGCAGGACAGCUCUUACCUGCCGGGCCGCCGCCCCAGCCAACAGCUCAGCCGGGUGCUCCUUCCUGGGCUCCACGCCCGGAGCUGCUUCCUGACGGUGCAGCCGCAAGGCAUCGCAGGGGCCCCGCGCUACUGCCCUGCUCCCUCAAAGUCCCAGGUCCCCUCCCCUGGUGCUGAUCAUUAACCAGGAGGCCGUAUAAGGAGCUAGCGGCCCUGGCGAGAGGGAAGGACGCAACGCUGCCACCAUGGACAGUAGCACCUGGAGCCCCAAGACCACCGCGGUCACCCGGCCUGUUGAGACCCACGAGCUCAUUCGCAAUGCAGCCGAUAUCUCCAUCAUCGUUAUCUACUUCGUGGUAGUGAUGGCCGUCGGACUGUGGCUAUGUUUUCCACCAAUCGUGGGACUGUUGGAGGCUUCUUCCUGGCAGGCCGAAGUAUGGUGUGGUGGCCGGUAAGUU
RNAcentral lists this long non-coding RNA (462 nucleotides) under Homo sapiens (human). RNAcentral describes it as "long non-coding RNA NONHSAT084935.2". The record is from RNAcentral. Lineage: Eukaryota; Metazoa; Chordata; Mammalia; Primates; Hominidae.